UGCUAUACAUGCAGUCGAGCGGACAGAAGGGAGCUUGCUCCCGGAUGUUAGCGGCGGACGGGUGAGUAACACGUGGGUAACCUGCCUGUAAGACUGGGAUAACUCCGGGAAACCGGAGCUAAUACCGGAUAGUUCCUUGAACCGCAUGGUUCAAGGAUGAAAGACGGUUUCGGCUGUCACUUACAGAUGGACCCGCGGCGCAUUAGCUAGUUGGUGGGGUAAUGGCUCACCAAGGCGACGAUGCGUAGCCGACCUGAGAGGGUGAUCGGCCACACUGGGACUGAGACACGGCCCAGACUCCUACGGGAGGCAGCAGUAGGGAAUCUUCCGCAAUGGACGAAAGUCUGACGGAGCAACGCCGCGUGAGUGAUGAAGGUUUUCGGAUCGUAAAGCUCUGUUGUUAGGGAAGAACAAGUGCGAGAGUAACUGCUCGCACCUUGACGGUACCUAACCAGAAAGCCACGGCUAACUACGUGCCAGCAGCCGCGGUAAUACGUAGGUGGCAAGCGUUGUCCGGAAUUAUUGGGCGUAAAGGGCUCGCAGGCGGUUUCUUAAGUCUGAUGUGAAAGCCCCCGGCUCAACCGGGGAGGGUCAUUGGAAACUGGGAAACUUGAGUGCAGAAGAGGAGAGUGGAAUUCCACGUGUAGCGGUGAAAUGCGUAGAGAUGUGGAGGAACACCAGUGGCGAAGGCGACUCUCUGGUCUGUAACUGACGCUGAGGAGCGAAAGCGUGGGGAGCGAACAGGAUUAGAUACCCUGGUAGUCCACGCCGUAAACGAUGAGUGCUAAGUGUUAGGGGGUUUCCGCCCCUUAGUGCUGCAGCUAACGCAUUAAGCACUCCGCCUGGGGAGUACGGUCGCAAGACUGAAACUCAAAGGAAUUGACGGGGGCCCGCACAAGCGGUGGAGCAUGUGGUUUAAUUCGAAGCAACGCGAAGAACCUUACCAGGUCUUGACAUCCUCUGACAACCCUAGAGAUAGGGCUUUCCCUUCGGGGACAGAGUGACAGGUGGUGCAUGGUUGUCGUCAGCUCGUGUCGUGAGAUGUUGGGUUAAGUCCCGCAACGAGCGCAACCCUUGAUCUUAGUUGCCAGCAUUCAGUUGGGCACUCUAAGGUGACUGCCGGUGACAAACCGGAGGAAAGUGGGGAUGACGUCAAAUCAUCAUGCCCCUUAUGACCUGGGGCUACCACC
This 1190-nucleotide ribosomal RNA is filed under the name Bacillus pumilus. RNAcentral's name for it is "bacterial SSU rRNA". It matches the Rfam family "Bacterial small subunit ribosomal RNA", at positions 45 to 1222 of the family's 1533-position model. The record is from RNAcentral. Lineage: Bacteria; Bacillati; Bacillota; Bacilli; Caryophanales; Bacillaceae.